Molecule: non-coding RNA, 5177 nt
Organism: Callithrix jacchus (white-tufted-ear marmoset)
Lineage: Eukaryota; Metazoa; Chordata; Mammalia; Primates; Cebidae
Source: RefSeq, a predicted model, not a curated record
AUUUGAAUACUAGAACCAGCUUCUGCCUACAUGGGAAAAAAUUCCUGCAUUUCUCACUUUCAGUCGGCUUUUCUAGCCCUGCUCCGCUCUGUUGCGAAGUCUACCUCAGUCUCGCUUUGCUCGCUCCAGAGCUAGCUGUUGAGAUGCAGCUCAGAGCAAGCCGAGAAUGUGUCGAUUAUCAUCUAUCAAGCAUCCUCGUCUGAAAACUGGAACUAAUAGUACCAACCUCACAGAAUUAUUAUCGGGAUUAAAAGAGGUAACAUAGACAAAGCGCUCUGCCAGUAAAACACAACUAUAAUUAGCCCGUUGCCCCAGAUGCCCAGGUGAGAUAUCUGGAUGCUAAAUAAUGAAGUAAAUUAAUUUGGCCUUUCUGACCUCCACCCAGAAGGCUACUCAUUGGUUGGAAGAAAAUAGAGAGGAGGACAAACAACUCUUUGGAAGAGGGGACUAUAGGUUAAAAAAAAAACACUCUUCAAUAAAUGAGCUAUGGCAUCUGAGAAGCAACAUGUCCAAGGGAGAGAGAGCUGUCCCUUCAGCAGAGGAACAUAAUCAAUCCUAAACGUGGCCCAGAAGAAACCGAAGCCCUAGCUGGACCACACAAAGGUUCUGUGGAUGAGGCAUGGUGCCUGGCACAGACUGACACAUGUUGGGACAAACUUGGCAGAGCAGCCAGAGCCAAAGCAAAAAACAGGAAUGAACCAAGAUACAACCUUUGUGGAAAACCCUGUUGAACAAAAGCAACUCUGUGGAGUAUCCUCUUAGCUGCAAAGUGAGACAGAAUUACGGGGCAAGCUUGGCCACUGAUGGAGGUCAGCAACCUGAACCAAACAUAAGGAAACCACUUGCUCCAAAUCAUCAGUAGAAGGUUGAGCAUACUACAACCAAGAGGAAGUGGAGACACAAGGGAUGCCAACUUGGAGGCUAAUUUGCUAUGUUCACUUCUGAUUAGCCCUUGUCUUGUGAAUGCCUCCUGAUUACUACUUAAUUUACUGUCCUUAGUGUAAGAACAUAACAACCUUGAUGUUGUCACACAAAUUAUAGGCUUUGAUGCAUGCAGCACUCUUGUCUCUUCUGGAAGGUAGUCUUUCAUUGUCUUGCACAGGGCACAUGUACUCUUUCCCUAUGAUAUAUAAGCCCUGGUUCUGGGGGUAACAGGUGCAGACAUCUCCCUGACUUGCUGCCACUAAAGACCAUGCUUCCAUCUGUAAGUUCCCCCAGUAAAACAUCCUUUACCAACACACUGGAGUUGUCUGCCUUGUUCUUUGGUUGCUUGGCUCUUUUGGCAUUUGGGGACUGCUUUGCAUAUAUGAUCCUUUCAUGGAGCAGGCAUGUUCCCAUGCUAUCCAGCUGGCUGCUGACACUGCCAUAGGGCAACCCUCAGAGAGAACUGGCCACCUCUCCCUUCAAGUGUUGAAAAGAGUGAGAAGUACAGGGCUACUCCCUAGGCCAAAUGACCAAUGCUCUGCUGGAGCUAUCCAAUUCUCACUGUUAGCCUGGGUACUCUCCAGGAGACCAAACAUUCUGUACUUAGGCAGCCCUCAAGAAUCAAAGAGUUACACCCUCAGCAGUGGAAAAGUUAAACACACUUUCCAAGUUAAAAACUCCUUGUGUUGCAGAUCUCAGGAUAGGCUAAAGCUCUUCUGGGGAGCAUUUAUCCCCGUUAAUGUGUUGUUAUCAGGGUUGGGGGUAUAACUUACAGAGAAAGUCAUGACACAGUGAUACCACAUGCUAUCCAUCUGCCAUAGGAAGAAAUUUAUUGUGUUGCAUGGAUUUGUGCAAUAUAAAUAUUUCUCGAAAGAAAGAAAGAAUGAAUGAUGACAUCACUAGUUUUUAGGCACUGAUUUUUGAGAAUCUGCAUAUAUGGAAGUUGAGUGUUCUGAAAUUAGCACAUUAUGGUUGUGGAAGGAGUCAACUAGCUUAAGGAAACAUAAGAAGCUGCAGGGAACCUGAGACAGAGUAGGAUGAGGCAAGAAGAAAGACCUAGUGUGGGGCCAGGACUGUGAGACUCACACUUGGUCCUUUUAACAGGGACCUCCUAAGGCCUAGGGGAUGGGAUUAGCUCCAGAUGUCACUGCACCCAAAUGUCUCUUCACUGCUAGGGAGAGAAGAAAGGAAGGCAGAGAAAGCAUGAGCGAGCCUGGCUGGGGAGGGCUACUAGGGUCCUUGUGGCAGAGAUGACUCUACCCACACUUGAGAGACUGAUGUGUCAGGAAAGCAUGCAGAGGUAAGUGAGAUGCUAGGUCAAGGAAUGAGAAAAGAGAGUCCGGAGGGAUCUGGGAGUAGAUAUGGGAAGCCAUGGUGUCAAGCCAGAGACUAGAACCUGGGCUCAGAGGUUCUGGAGGGUGAGAGGGCAGUGCUGGCCAACCACACAGAGUAGGCAUUGGAGUCAGUAAUGGCCUAGGUGUGCUGGCUGCAGCCCAGCUCAGAGCCCAGGGGAAGCUGGCUGCACCUAAAGAACUGAGGCACUGCAAAAAGUUAUACCCCUAAACUGUGGAGAUGUUAGCCAAAGCUCCUUUCAGGAGUGGCAAGAGCUGUGUGUCUGAACCAGUCCUAGUACUGGCCGUGAUCCUGAUAACGUGUUUAUGAGCUCUUGAGUUAAACCAAUCUAUAGAGGCCAUCUGGAGUGUUGGCUUCAGUCCUUCCUUAUCCCCACACCAUCCCCCUAACGCUUUGCAGAAUAGAGACCUCUCAAAUACUGUAAGGAGAGUAUGUGAAUUUAGGUUGGCCUAAUUGGUUUUGUGAUUUCUGUUUGGUUGAGCUGUCAGGAAUUUGUUCUGAUGGGCUGGGUUGGGUGACAGAGUUAUUCAUUAACCAGACCCGAGAAGGGGAGGGAGCCAUGUACAACUUGCCAAGCGCUAGUAGUUGACCUCAAACCCUAGAAAGGCUCCAUCUCUGUCAAAUGGAGUCUUACCACGUAAGUCUCUUCAUCCCCCUACUCCACGUCAUUGAAUACAGAAUAAAGGUACAUGUUUAUAGGCUCUCAAAGAGCAGGGACCACGUGAUGUAAUCCUUUGCAUCUACUAUUAGACACUGUCUAAUAUGGUAUCCUCUGACCCCACAUGGCUUUCAAACCCUUCAUAAAGGGCUACCCUGAAUUGAGAUGUGCUGAAUUUUGAAGAGUUAAUAUAGAAAAAUAAUGUAAAACAUCUUAUUAGUAUGUUCUUAAAUUAAUUAUGUUUGGUUAAGGAAAAUAUAUUAUUAAAAGUAAUUUCUUCAGUUUCCUUUUAUUUUAUUUUUUUUAAUGCAGCUACUCAAAAAUUCAAAACUCUGUACAAGGCAUGGUAUUUCUGGCAGGUAGCACUAUUUACUACCCUCUCUGGGGCAAAUCCAAAUCACAGAUCUUAUAUAAUUUGGAUAAUAAACCCCCUUCAGUCACCAGUGAGCCCACACUGAUAAAAGAAAUAAACUGAUUGCAGAGCCUUUGAGAUCUCAACCCAAUUAAACGCUGACCUUUGUUCCUUCUUUUCACAGCCAGUUAGGAAAUAAAUUACUCAGAGGAAAAUCUUAACAAUUUCUAUCAACUGAAAGUCUAGUCUCAGACCCAGACUGACUUUCAUUCAAUCCAUUCUCUGAAAUUUGAACAUCUAACCGCAGACUUCCGGGGCUCAUCUAGCUGAGACAGGGAUCCUUCUGGAAAAAAUAGGCAAGUCUCUGGGUGCUUCUAGCUUCUGGCCCUGUUCCCUCAAAAGGUCAGUUUCAAUCUCAGAUCACACAGGUCAUGUGCUAGAACUCCUUCUCCCCAUGUUCCCUCAGGCGCCUGAUCAGCGUGGCAGAGCCUGAGUUAUAGGUCACAGUUCCAGCGGUUGUUCUUAGCUCUUUCAAAGCCACACUUAACACUAAUCCUGAAGACUUUCUUUUUCUACAUCACUUUAUGCUUGGCUGGGAUUAAAUGGAAGACUUAUACCAUCAGCAAAUUGGCUUUCCACACCUCACAAACCAACUCACAUGCUUACUCCCAAUCCUUGAGAAUACUGGGUCUAAUUCCCAAAGUCAGCUGGUAUUUCAGGCUAAGAUCAGCUCGAGCCUCCAUCCAAGGCCUAGUGAGAAUGCUCUGUUUGCCUAAGAGGAUUAAGUGGAGGACAGCCAGCUAAGCUUCACAGAGACUUUUUAAUGACUUCAGCUCUAAUCGCUUCCUGUUCUAGGCCUCAUCAGCCACCACCAGUUAUGACCGGGCUUUUUUAAGUCUGAUGUCACUAAUCUGUUCCACUCCAAGGAUGCCAAAGCCCCUCUCUUUGUUGUCUCUUUUGCUUCCCCUUUGUAGGCUCCACUUUUAUUCUUCUGAAGAAUGUAACCCCUUUGCCCCCACUCCUCUUACCUCUCAACCUGUCUCUCUCAUCUCACCAGUUUGGUCUUCUCUCUGAGUAUUUUGGACAGGAAGUAGAACCUCAUUCACAGGCUCAUGUCAUCAUUUUUGGAAUAACUUAUUUAAAUGGAACAUUCACUGUCACAAAAAUAAACUUGCAUUUUAGGGCCUGGUGCUGUGACUUGCACCUGUAAUCCCAGCACUUUGGGAUCCAGGUGGUUGGAUUGCUUGAAGCCAGGAGUUCAAGGCCAGCAUGAGCAGCACAGCAGGACACUGUUUCUACAGCAAAUUUUAAAAUUAGCCAGAUGUGGUGGCCUGUGCCUGUAGUUCCAGCUACACAGAAGGCUGAGGCAGGAAAAUUACCUGAGCCCAGGAGUUUGAGGUUGUAGUGAGCUAUGACUGCACCACUGCACUCCAGCUUGGAUGACAGAGUGAGGCCCUGUCUCUAAAAAAACGAAAAACAAAAAUCUUUUUAAAAAAAGAAAUCUGCAUUUGAUCCGAGAAAGCAGAGACAAUAUGUGUGAGCAAUUUCUGGCUCCAGUUGUCUAUGACUUGGAAAACCUGUUUAUCCAUAGUUCACCUCUUGAUUGUGAUAUAACUUCUUUUACUUGGUAGUUCCCACAUUCAGCUUGAUCCAAAGACUAUGAUCAAAACUCAUGGUGCCUUGUGGUGUUAUUGAAAUCUUUAAAUUAUUCUUCUUUUAUAAUAGAGUUACCUUUCCUCUCUGGUCAAGGAGCUGUUAGAGUGUGUGUCAGCUGGAAAAAAAAAUUCUAAUUACAGUGUCAAUAUUUUAAAAAUAUUUUGGCACUAGGCUUACUAGGUCUACUGUUUUGUGAGUUCUGUGUGUCCACUGUCCAGUUUUGGUAUUAGUGUU